GAUAUUUCGGAACUGAGUCUAGUUCCUUCGAUAUCAGUGUAAUCUAAUAUUUAAAUAAAUAUUAGAUUACACUGAUAUCGAAGGAACUAGACUCAGUUCCGAAAUAUCGCU
Molecule: microRNA precursor, 111 nt
Filed under: Paramuricea clavata
Lineage: Eukaryota; Metazoa; Cnidaria; Anthozoa; Malacalcyonacea; Plexauridae
Source: RNAcentral